CCAACAGCAGCUACGACGAAGCAAACGGCAUAAAAGCCCCUAUCGACACAUGAAAUCACAUUAUUUUAUGUGAUUUCAUGGCUUUUAUGGAUCGUACACGCAAAGCAGAGGUCAAACAGCCAAGGCAAGACUCCCGCUGACUGGUCUCGGCGUGCCGGAGGCCGUGCUCACCUUUCGGAGCACUGCCGGCCACUGUGGCACGCGCACGGGCGACGCAAAAUUAGAGAAACAGCGCGCACAGUAGGAAAAGCAUGCUUAUCUCGCUGACCAGGGGCUCGUUGACCCUAAGUGAGGUGAGCACUGUGAUCAGGACUGACUGACGAUCACCGUGCUCACCUCCGGAGGCAUCGGAACAGCCUCAGGUCGCCGGAACAGUGAGCAGAACAGGAAACACUGCGCAGAAAGGCUGAAAACGAGCUUACCGGCCAGGGGAGAGCUAGGGUUGGCCGCCGGUGGCUGGACGGCGGGCGGCCCGGCCGGGGGAGGGU
Molecule: long non-coding RNA, 488 nt
Filed under: Ananas comosus (pineapple)
Lineage: Eukaryota; Viridiplantae; Streptophyta; Magnoliopsida; Poales; Bromeliaceae
Description: long non-coding RNA (ACOM_LNC035239)
Source: RNAcentral